Long non-coding RNA from Salvia miltiorrhiza (redroot sage), 878 nucleotides. RefSeq lists it as uncharacterized. Lineage: Eukaryota; Viridiplantae; Streptophyta; Magnoliopsida; Lamiales; Lamiaceae. The transcript is spliced from 2 exons. The record is from RefSeq and is a predicted model, not a curated record.
UCUUAUUUCUCCAUCACACCUUACCUCCCAAAUCAUAAUUAAUUUAUUAUAAUCGAGAAAACUAGAGUAUAAUUCUGGAUGGAUCUGAUUUUAAUUAAUCGCUAAAUCAUGAGAAAAUCUUUGAUUAAUUAAUAAUAGAGGACUAUUCCCACUUGACCUCCCACAUUACUUCCUAUAACAAAUUCAUAUACCAAAAUCAAGACUUCAAAACUUUCUGUCUUGUUGAUUGUUGUUGCCUUCUUGUUGGAUUUCUCUCAUCUUUUAGUUUUUGAAUAAUGUCAUUUAAUACGCGUGGCAUCGAAACUAAGUGAUUGUGAGUAUAAAUCACACCACACAAAUACACUAUCAAACUCGAGCAUCCAAUGAAAAUGGAGAGGAAGAAAUCUUGGUUGAGUUCAAUAAUUGUCAAGAACUCAUUUUUUCUUCGGACAAGAGAUAUUCUUGCAAAUGCUGCCUCAAAUCUCAGACACAAGGCUAAAGAAAAAAGUGAUGGUUUUGUUAAUUUGUACAAGGAUAUGGAGGCGUGCGCAGGAUACACAGAUAUUCAGGUGAUGUGGGAGAUGAUUCACUCUACAUCUCCUCAUAAUGUGCAGAGAGAGAGAAGCGGUAGAAGAUUUAAGUGUUGGAAAUUCUGUUUCCAACAAGUGUGAGAGAUUAUUAUCAAUAGUGUACAACGAGGAAAAAUCUACAACCGCUAUUCGUGGACGUUUUAGUAUAGAUGUCUCAAUGGUGUCUGUGUGCGUAGUGGGAGGUUAUUGUUUUAUUUCCAGCUGAAAUAUUUGAUGAUCGUAUAGAAAUAUAAGUAUAUUAUUUGAAUUUCUUUAUGCUGUUAUUGAGUGGAGAAUUUAAUGAAAUUCAAAUACUCGAUAUUUUCCUUU